GAGCUCGCUCUGGCAGUACGUGCACUAAAAUUGGACCGAUACAGAGAUUAGCAUGGGCCCCACGCACGAAUGACAACGCAAAUUUAUGAAGCAUUGCGUAUUUUG
Small nuclear RNA from Mirounga angustirostris (Northern elephant seal), 105 nucleotides. The record is from RefSeq and is a predicted model, not a curated record. NCBI's taxonomy places the organism in Eukaryota, Metazoa, Chordata, Mammalia, Carnivora, Phocidae.